GCAGCGUCUGCAGGCACAUAUUCUCAAGAGCUUCGUCAGCGUGAUUGCGCGACAACAAGAAGAUCUGGGGGAGUUGGGGAAGCAUCCAACGCCAGUGUUGGAGCGGAAUCUUUCGGACAUCGGCCACGGUCUCCUUACGCAAGCCAGCCAUUUGGCGGUAGCUUAUUCGGGAGCUCACGGCAGAGGGCAGACGACAUCUUUGUCUUACCUGUUCAACGUCACCCUUUUUUAUUUUUCUGGAACACGGUUGCUGACGCUGGUCGAUAAGGCCGGUUCAGGCAUUCCAACGGGGAGCUCCUUUUGUCCCCCUCCCCAGGUUCAGAUUUUCAGUGUACUGCGCGUGCGCUGGAAAGCACCUAGACUGAAUCAACAGGCUACGACUGCGCGUGGCAUUUACAAGUGGCCACAGUUCACAUUUCGCAUUGUUUAUGUUCUUCAGUCGACAUACCUUGUUCUGGUAUUUAUCGGUGGAUGUCACCUAUGCAGGUUCAGGUAACGGAUUCAGAAUCCUCAACUGACAAGGGCGAAGGAUACAGCAGCUGGCCAAGAUGACCGCCGGUUUCCAGCUCGGUGUGAUUGAGUCGCUCGCGCUCUCCGUUGCAUCGUCGGUUGCCAUUGUCAUCUGCAACAAAGCGCUCAUCAGCACCCUAGGGUUUCCAUUUGCUACAACAUUGACAAGCUGGCAUCUCAUGGUGACCUUCUGCACCCUUCACGUUGCGCAGCGCUUGCGCUUUUUCGAGGCAAAGGCAAUUGAUGGACAGACGGUGGUUUUGUUCGGGUUGCUGAAUGGAACCUCAAUUGGCCUUCUCAAUCUUAGUUUAGGAUUCAAUUCCAUCGGAUUCUACCAGAUGACAAAGCUGGCCAUAAUACCCUUCACAGUGCUGUUGGAGACUAUAUUCCUGAAGAAAAGAUUUAGUGAGACUAUCAAGUUCUCCCUACUGAUCUUGCUACUUGGAGUUGGCAUUGCUUCAGUCACCGACCUCAAGCUAAAUUUUCUUGGGUCUAUCCUUUCCGGCCUCGCCAUCGCCACGACUUGUGUUGGCCAAAUUCUCACAAACACAAUACAGAGGAAGCUGAAGGUCUCCUCGACGCAGCUCCUGUACCAGUCUGCGCCUUACCAAUCAGCCAUCCUGUUCACCACCGGCCCCUUCGUGGAUCAGCUCCUCACCAGCCGCAGCGUCUUCGCCCACAAAUACACCUUCCCGGUCGUGGGCUUCAUCGUGCUUUCGUGCCUGAUCGCGGUGUCGGUGAACUUCAGCACGUUCCUGGUGAUCGGGACGACGUCGCCGGUGACGUACCAGGUGCUGGGGCACCUCAAGACGUGCCUGGUGCUGUCGUUCGGGUACACGCUGCUGCGCGACCCCUUCACCGCACGCAACAUCCUGGGCAUCCUCGUCGCCAUCUUCGGGAUGGCGCUCUACUCCUACUUCUCGGUGCGCGAGGGCAGGAAGAAGGCCGCGGGCGACGCCCUCCCGGUGUCACAGAUGCCGGACAAGGAGACGGAGCCGCUGCUGGCGUCGGCGGCCAAGGACGGCGGCGACGCCAAGAAGGCCAACGGCGUAGCUCACGACUGCUAGACGUGCCUUUCUCUCGUUUGUUAUAGCUUAGCCCAGUUCUAGUGUCGCUACGCACACUGUUCUGAAUCCGAGGCCGCACCGCUCAUCAGCAGAAUGGCUUUGGCUAUGCCUCUUCUGCGAGGAAUUUCGCUGCGCUUAGUCGCUUCUCAGGGAGGCGGCCGCACGAG
Molecule: RNA transcript, 1744 nt
Organism: Panicum hallii
Lineage: Eukaryota; Viridiplantae; Streptophyta; Magnoliopsida; Poales; Poaceae
Gene name: UDP-xylose transporter 1-like
Exons: 8
Source: RefSeq, a predicted model, not a curated record